Long non-coding RNA from Ruditapes philippinarum (Manila clam), 1362 nucleotides. RefSeq lists it as uncharacterized. The transcript has 4 exons. The record is from RefSeq and is a predicted model, not a curated record. NCBI's taxonomy places the organism in Eukaryota, Metazoa, Mollusca, Bivalvia, Venerida, Veneridae.
AGGUCAUAUUUUAUUUUAAAAAAUAUUGUCUAUAUAUUUUAAAAUUAAAACGUGAAGAUGAUGUGGCUUUUGAAAGAAGAUAUUGAUUCGGUACUUUGUACAAUAUCGAUGAGGAAAUCGGCGCUAGUAGGCCCUACAGGUCUGUGUCCGCCCUGAAGAAGAUCUUCAUUUUUUGAAGGUGAAGCUACAAUAUUUGUCUUGAACUUGACUUCACUAGCUGGGCUUAUAAAGACAAGAUAUCCAGAAGUGAUUUCAUAGAGAAAUGGAAAUAAAUAAUACCUAGAAGCAUGUGAAGUGGAGAUGAAGUGAUGCUGAGAACUUUCAAGGAAACUUCUCAGUGAAGUACGAUGAUGGCACACAAGAGUACCUUCUUCAUGUUCUUCAUGGGAUAAAAGCACAGGAUCAUUAUAAUCAGGAGUUACUCACAGGAUCAUUAUAAUCAGGAGUUACUAGUACUCAGUCAACAUAGACUCAAUUUGAGAAAAGAAUUAAAUGGAUAUUAAUGGUAGCCUAAAAAUAUUUGACCUAGAGUCUUUAGUUUGACAAAACAGUCAAGUGUUGGGGCACACAUGUCCUAUGGAUACUUUUCUAGUUACAAUUUAUUUAGACAUUAGUGUAAAAACAACAAAAUUAAUUAUUAAAUGCUGUUCAUGUUUGAACUAUGUUUUAAUCUUACCUACAUGUAUAAAAAUCAAACAUUUUUAGCUCGACUAUUUGAUAAGAUUAAGUAUAGCUAUUGUAGUCACCCGAGUGCCGGCGUAACCUCCUAUGUUGAAGUUUUUGUAAUACCUCAAAUAUUUUCAAAAUCCAUUGACAUAUUACUUUGAAACUUAGGGCACUUGUUCACCAUCAUGACCCCAACCUGUAGACAGGAGGAGGUAACUGUAUUGAGCAUUUUGACAGAAUUAUGCCCCUUUUUCGACUUAGAAUUUACAUUCAAGUUUUUUAAAAUACCACCUCAGAUAUUUUCAAAGUCCAUUGACUUAUGGCUCUGAAACUUUGCACACUUGUUCACCAUCAUGACCCCAACCUGUAGACAGGAGGAGGUAACCGUAACAAAUAUUUUGACAGAAUUAUGCCCCUUUUCUAACUUAGAAUUUAUGUUAAAGUUUUUGUAACACCUCAAAUAUUUUCAUAGUCCAUUGACAUAUGACUCAAAACUUUGCACACUUGUUUAACGUCAAUAUCCAAACCUGUAGACAGGGGGGGGUAACUGUAUGAAUCUUUUUGAGAGAUUAAUGCCCCUUUUUCAACUUAGAAUUUACAUUUAAGUUUGCAUACCACCUCAGAUAUUUUCAUAUUGCUUUGAAACAAGUUGAAAUUUUAAACUUUUCUUUGAGAGCAUAAUAUGACUCUCUCUCA